Molecule: non-coding RNA, 3016 nt
Organism: Pelodiscus sinensis (Chinese soft-shelled turtle)
Lineage: Eukaryota; Metazoa; Chordata; Testudines; Trionychidae
Source: RefSeq, a predicted model, not a curated record
AAUACAACAGAGUAAACUUAACUGAGAAAAGUAUUUUCCAUUCACUGCACCACAACGUACACACACUUAUGAGUCCAAAUCAAGACAUCUCAUAAAAUAACCAAGCCUUCCUGCAAGGAGACUGCGACGGUUUCACAGCCUCACCCCACGUGCUUUACGCAAUGGACUUACGGACACAAACAUGCAUAACUCAAAAGAUGCUUUGCACAAAAUACUUCAUGCAACCCAUCAAUCUUAAUGUCCCAGUCUGCUGGAUCUGUAUGUCAUAUUUUGGUGCAUGUAUCACUCUUCUAUGUAAGGUUAGAGAUAUGGGGGAUGGGAUGGUUUAUGGUUUUAAAUGUGCAAAUGAAAGCCAUCAAGGUUGCUUCCAGUGCUGGACACCUCAAUGUCUGGGUGAUCACCUGUAAACUGCUUCUUUUGCCCUUUGAGUCUAAGCAGUAGUUGGUCUUAGGAAGUCACGUGACCACCCCAACUGGUAGGGGCUGACCAGGAAAUUUUCCAUGGAAGGUGGGAGGAGAACAAAAGUUUCCACCCAAAGUGAAAUCUAUAAAACAAUGGGAAGCAAGCUGUCCCUUUGUCUCUGGCUGGCAUGUCACUCCCAGGAGAAUGAACCAGAGACCCCAGAGCAAAAAAGAUCGCUCCUGGUUUGGAGAUGUAGCUGAAAUAAGAAUUGUUUUCGGUUCCUCUCCCUCCAGCAGUUGUAUUCACCAAAACGGAAGGAACUAGCAGGGGUACACAGAUGCAGUGUCUCUUCCUGAACUCCGGUUGCUCCAUUCAGAUUAAGAGCUACUAAUCGUAAAGACUCAAUGGGAUCCAUCUUUUCAGCAUCCUAGAGCUAACAGUGGACUUCAGGAGGCUACCCAGACACACAAGUCGUGUCCUGCACAGCAAGCACUUUACUGCAUUAUUCAACCCAUGUGGAAUGUAUGUGACAUCUCAGAUGUCACCUGAAACUAACAAGCUCUAAGCCAAUCUUAUCAGUUAUCAUUAAGGAAAGGAAUCUGAUACCAGACUACGAGUGAAAAAGGCUGCCGUGACUUCUGACCUUUUCCCUCUCUAAACGGGUUGUGCGGAUGAAUGGCCCGGGACAAAGGUGGGUGAAAAUGCAAUAAGGAACGACAUAGUAACGGAGACGCAGCAAAGCAGGGAGGAGUGCUUUAAGUCAAAAUGAUUUAAAUCACAUCUUUCAAUCACAAUUUGAAUCACCAAACAGGAAACCUCAAUUUAAACAAUUGAUUCUCAUCUUGUGUUGCAAUUGUUCUUUUUUUGUUAUUUUCCUAAAGAAAGAUUGAAUCUCAUUGGUUAGUAACCCUUAAAAAUGUUCAUUUGCAAUUGAAUAUAGCCCUUUACAUAAAAGUUGGUACUUUUUCCUAAGCAUAGGAACACAAUAUAGCUAUACAUAUUUAAGCAAUUAACAUGCAUUUAUUCAAAUUAUCAAUGUUUGCGUACUUCAUUAUAUCAGAAAAUGGUGUAUAAUGCACUUAUUAGAUGAUGAUCAUUACUGUGAUUUAUGUCAAGCUCUAUUUGGAUAGAAAUUGGAACUCAAUUAAAAAUGUAUAGAAACAACAUUGUAAAACUGCUGUAUUCAUGAAAUAGAAGUUUUUAAAUGUGCUACACAUAUAAAUUUAUUGAAUCGUUUGCAUUUAAAAUGAACCGGUUUAUUAAAUAUAGGAAGUAUUACCUGUAGUUAGUGAAUUGAGUUGUUUAUUUCUGGCGCUAUGUCCCUCAAGACUGUAGAACUCAUCCUCUUGUAUUUAAUUGUUACUCGUAGAUGGGAAGAGGAAAACAAGCUUGCCUUUCAACUCUUGGUGGUUUCUUAAAUUGGACUGAACUAGUCAUUCAGAUGAACUAGCUGAACAAACCGAAAUGAAAAAUAUUCUCUCUGCAUCCACAAAAGAGUCUAGUGGUGCCAAAAUGAAUAAAAUGAUUCAACACACUUUGGUUCCUGGUGCUUAACUAGUGAUUUCCACCAGGUCAGAAUGUUUCUGUUUUUAGAAAUUUCUGCAGCAAACAUGUGCAGCUUAAUUUUUAUCUUGCCAUCCAUUUCCCAUUUAUCCAUUCCCAGCAGAGGCACUGAGCUUGCAGGUCGUUAAGUAGGUCCCGGCCUGGUGGCGCUGUAUGGACCAUUCUCCUACCUCUCCAUACAUGGACUGGAAGCACUGCACAUUUUGGAGGCUGGAAUAAUCAAGUCCUCAGUGCUUCGAGCCAGCUGCAGACCUGCUACACAAGGACGAGGCAGACAAAGGGGAUCGCCGGGCAGAAGCAAGCAAAGAGGAGCAUUCAGAAGCCUGGAGGAACAAGGAAGCUGCAGUGAAAAAAUAUUAACUACAAUAGGAAGACAGAAAGAAAAAAAAAGAGAUGGUCUUAGCUGGUUUGAUUCUGCCUGGCAUUCUCCAACACCAGUUCUAAGAUUCAGCCUGAGUUCCUGAUGGUAGCGACUCCACGGACAGACACAGCCAGGACUAACUGUGCUGACCCUGGGAGCUGGUAAAAAAGAAGAAAAAAUACAGAGGCUGCCUGUGACAGGGACUAUUAUCCUGAAAUACUCUGCCUGGCCCAGAGUCAUUCAAAACGCGCAGCGCUAAUGGAACAGCAUCUCACAAAAAUACUGUGGUGUCCUGCUGAUGAGAGAUCCAUUUACAGACGCUUGAGUAGGCGGCAUACAUGCUUCAGGGUGUGAAUACUGACGGCUUUGUCAAACUACACUCCCUGUUGUCAAAACAGGCACAAAUAGCACCACAACUACGCCAUGUCCAGGAGCAGCGAGCUACACAACACCUUGGAUGUUUAAUUUAGCCACUGCAAAACAGUUCUUCACACUCUCAACCAGCAAACACCACGUCUUGAGGCCCCACAUCUUACACACCCAGCAGGCCCACAGAAUCAUAGAAACUACAAGGCCUAUCGGAUAAUCGAUUCCACCAGCACUACGGCCCAGGUCCAUGAAGGAUUGCUCCCUGCAGUCAAUUUUCUAGCAGAAAGUGUUAUUUAUUUUUAUAAAAUAUGACAGUCCCAA